AUUGAACGCUGGCGGCAUGCCUUACACAUGCAAGUCGAACGGUAACAGGGAGCUUGCUCCGCUGACGAGUGGCGAACGGGUGAGUAAUGUAUCGGAACGUACCAUUCAGUGGGGGGAUAACGUAGCGAAAGUUACGCUAAUACCGCAUAUUCUGUGAGCAGGAAAGCAGGGGGAUCGCAAGACCUUGCGCUGAUUGAGCGGCCGAUAUCAGAUUAGCUAGUUGGUGAGGUAAAGGCUCACCAAGGCGACGAUCUGGUAGCGGGUCUGGAGACGGAUGAUCCGCCACACUGGAACUGAGACACGGUCCAAACUCCUACGGGAGGCAGCAGUAAGGAGUUUUCGGCAAUGGGGGAAACCCUGACCGAGCAACGCCGCGUGAGUGAUGACGGCCCUAUGGGUUGUAAAGCUCUGUUAUAAGGGACGAACAGCUUUGCGAGGAAUGCGCGAGAGUCUGGACGGUACUUUAUCAGAAAGCCACGGCUAACU
This 486-nucleotide ribosomal RNA is filed under the name uncultured bacterium. Its description in RNAcentral is "bacterial SSU rRNA". It matches the Rfam family "Bacterial small subunit ribosomal RNA", at positions 30 to 502 of the family's 1533-position model. The record is from RNAcentral.